GACCUCGAUGGUGUAGUGGUAGCAUGUCCCCCCGGCAUGGGUAAAAUGCAGGUUCAGCUCCUGUCUCAAGUCA
Molecule: non-coding RNA, 73 nt
Organism: Parelaphostrongylus tenuis
Lineage: Eukaryota; Metazoa; Nematoda; Chromadorea; Rhabditida; Metastrongylidae
Source: the annotation of a GenBank genome assembly